AUGCGUUUCUUCCAGGAAUUUUAUGAACUGGGCAGCAACUUUCACGGCAUCAAUGUAGCAAACAUUGUGCUCAUACCUAAGAAAGAAGCACCAACGGAUAUCAGAGAUUUCCGCCCCAUCUCCUUGGUACACAGCUUGCCCAAGCUGAUAACCAAAGUGCUUGCUGCACGACUGCAACGCCUCAUCCCAGCCAUGAUUCAUCCGCUGCAGUCGGGUUUUUUA
Molecule: ribosomal RNA, 222 nt
Filed under: Triticum aestivum (bread wheat)
Lineage: Eukaryota; Viridiplantae; Streptophyta; Magnoliopsida; Poales; Poaceae
Description: partial small subunit ribosomal RNA
Source: RNAcentral